GUAGGAGGCAAGCGUUAUCCGGAAUGACUGGGCGUAAAGGGUGCGUAGGUGGUUUGCAAGUUAGUAGCGUAACCCCGGGGCUCAACCUCGGAACUACUACUAAAACUGUCGGACUUGAGUGCAGGAGGGGCAAUUGGAAUUCCUAGUGUAGCGGUGGAAUGCGUAGAUAUUAGGAGGAACACCAGUGGCGAAGGCGAAUUGCUGGACUGUAACUGACACUGAGGCACGAAAGCGUGGGGAGCAAAC
Molecule: ribosomal RNA, 246 nt
Filed under: uncultured bacterium
Lineage: Bacteria
Description: partial 16S ribosomal RNA
Rfam family: Bacterial small subunit ribosomal RNA
Source: RNAcentral